This 618-nucleotide long non-coding RNA is filed under the name Lupinus angustifolius (narrow-leaved blue lupine). RNAcentral's name for it is "long non-coding RNA (LANG_LNC001725)". The record is from RNAcentral. Lineage: Eukaryota; Viridiplantae; Streptophyta; Magnoliopsida; Fabales; Fabaceae.
GGUACACAACUAGAAUUUUUUUUUCCAUUUAAAUCUACUUUCCAUUGCAUUCAAUAUUUUCAUUUUCACCAUUGAGAAUUUACACAAUAUUUUAAGAAGUUUUCAAAGUAAUACAUAUAUUAUUUAUUAAUAGUAAAAAGUCAUUUAAUAUUUCUUCAUACUCUUCAAUGAUUAGCCUUGCAGUAUACAUGUGGUCGUGUAAAGAAUACCUCUCAAUGUUCAAAUUUUACGGGCAUUUUAGUUACUCAUAUCUAGGGUUUGCUUCUUGCCUUUUGAAAGUUUUGUUGUCCAAAGAGCUUCUAUAAUUUUCUCAUUGUUUUUCACUAUUUUUCUUCCGAUUUGUAAUGUUUGCUUUUUAAUUAUCUAAUAUUAUCAUCAAAUUCUUAUGUUUUCUAAAUGUUUAGGCCCUUUAAUUCUGUUUUUAAUCAUUAUUUUUUCUCUCUACAAUAUAUGUUAACAUCAUGCUUUCAAAUCUCUUCAUCGCUCUCAUAUGAAGUAUACGAGUAACAUGUAUGUUAUUAACUAUGCGACAAAAAAUUACUGUCUCGUGCAAAUGCAUGGGUAACUUACUAGUUUACUCUUAUAUAUAAAACAUUACCUUAACAAUCUAUAUACUGU